Molecule: ribosomal RNA, 253 nt
Filed under: uncultured bacterium
Lineage: Bacteria
Description: partial 16S ribosomal RNA
Rfam family: Bacterial small subunit ribosomal RNA
Source: RNAcentral
CACGUAGGGCGCAAGCGUUGUCCGGAAUUAUUGGGCGUAAAGAGCGUGUAGGCGGCUUGGUAGGUCCGCUGUGAAAACUCGAGGCUCAACCUCGAGAUGUCGGCGGAAACCACUUGGCUAGAGUCCGGAAGAGGAGAGUGGAAUUCCCGGUGUAGCGGUGAAAUGCGCAGAUAUCGGGAAGAACACCUAUGGCGAAGGCAGCUCUCUGGGACGGUACUGACGCUGAGACGCGAAAGCGUGGGGAGCGAACAGG